This 300-nucleotide ribosomal RNA is filed under the name uncultured Pyrobaculum sp. RNAcentral describes it as "bacterial SSU rRNA". It matches the Rfam family "Bacterial small subunit ribosomal RNA", at positions 496 to 795 of the family's 1533-position model. The record is from RNAcentral. Lineage: Archaea; Thermoproteati; Thermoproteota; Thermoprotei; Thermoproteales; Thermoproteaceae.
GGUCACGCCGUGCCAGGGGCGGCGGGAAGAUGGGGGGGGUAUGCUUUGUUCGGAAUUACUGGGCGUAAAGGGCUCGUAGGGGGCCAACUAAGUCAUACGUGAAAUGCCUCAGCGUAACUGGGGAACUGCGUGUGAUACUGGAUGGCUUGGAUUUGGGAGAGGGAUGCGGAAUUCCAGGUGUAGCGGUGAAAUGCGUAGAUAUCUGGAGGAACACCGGUGGCGAAGGCGGCAUCCUGGACCAAUAUUGACGCUGAGGAGCGAAAGCCAGGGGAGCAAACGGGAUUAGAUACCCCAGUAGUC